GACUGGAUAGCCUAGUGGUCAAGGCAUCACAUUGACAAUGCUGAGUCCCAGGUUUGAAUCCUGGUCUAGUCA
Molecule: transfer RNA, 72 nt
Filed under: Cronartium ribicola 11-2
Lineage: Eukaryota; Fungi; Basidiomycota; Pucciniomycetes; Pucciniales; Coleosporiaceae
Description: tRNA-Val (GAC) (tRNA-Val-GAC-36-1)
Rfam family: tRNA
About the family: Transfer RNA (tRNA) molecules are approximately 80 nucleotides in length. Their secondary structure includes four short double-helical elements and three loops (D, anti-codon, and T loops).
Source: RNAcentral